GCUUCUAAUGUACCCCAAGGUGGGGGAUAGGUCGGGGAAACCCGGCGUAAUACCCCAUGUGCUCUUCGGAGGAAAGGUUUCGACCGCCUUGGGAGCAGGAAGCGUCCUAUCAGGUAGUUGGUGUGGUAAUAGCGCACCAAGCCUAAGACGGGUAGCGGGUGUGAGAGCAUGACCCGCCGCAUCGGGACUGAGACACUGCCCGGACUCCUACGGGAGGCUGCAGCGACGAAUCUUCCGCAAUGCGCGAAAGCGUGACGGAGCAAUGCCGCGUGUGGGAUGAAGCAGCUUCGCUGUGUAAACCACUGUCAGGGGUUAGAAAUACUGAUCAACCCCAAAGGAAGGGCCGGCUAACCUCGUGCCAGCAGCCGCGGUAAGACGAGGGGCCCGAGCGUUAUUCGGAAUCACUGGGCUUAAAGGGUGCGUAGGCGGAUGCGCAAGCGUCUCGUGAAAUCCCUCGGCUCAACCGAGGAAUUGCGGGGCGAACUGCGUGUCUUGAGACAGGUAGGGGCCGUCGGAACGCUAGGUGGAGCGGUGAAAUGCAUAGAUAUCUAGCGGAACGCCGAAGGAGAAGUCGGGCGGCUGGGCCUGUUCUGACGCUGAGGCACGAAAGCGUGGGGAGCAAACGGGAUUAGAUACCCCGGUAGUCCACGCCCUAAACGAUGCGCACUAGAUCGAGGCGGUUUCGACGCCGUCUCGGUCGUAGAGAAAUCAUUAAGUGCGCCGCCUGGGGAGUACGGUCGCAAGGCUAAAACUCAAAGGAAUUGACGGGGGCUCACACAAGCGGUGGAGCAUGUUGCUUAAUUCGAAGCAACGCGAAGAACCUUACCUGGGUUUGACAUGCACGGAUUAGCUUUUGGAAACAAGAGUGACACCUUCGGGUGGAACGUGCACAGGUGCUGCAUGGCUGUCGUCAGCUCGUGCUGUGA
This 926-nucleotide ribosomal RNA is filed under the name uncultured Planctomycetota bacterium. RNAcentral's name for it is "bacterial SSU rRNA". It matches the Rfam family "Bacterial small subunit ribosomal RNA", at positions 117 to 1070 of the family's 1533-position model. Lineage: Bacteria; Pseudomonadati; Planctomycetota. The record is from RNAcentral.